RNAcentral lists this ribosomal RNA (468 nucleotides) under uncultured bacterium. RNAcentral's name for it is "partial 16S ribosomal RNA". It matches the Rfam family "Bacterial small subunit ribosomal RNA", at positions 28 to 507 of the family's 1533-position model. The record is from RNAcentral.
GACGAACGCUGGCGGCGUGCUUAACACAUGCAAGUCGAACGGAAAGGCCCUGCUUUUGUGGGGUGCUCGAGUGGCGAACGGGUGAGUAACACGUGAGUAACCUGCCCUUGACUUUGGGAUAACUUCAGGAAACUGGGGCUAAUACCGGAUAGGAGCUCCUGCUGCAUGGUGGGGGUUGGAAAGUUUCGGCGGUUGGGGAUGGACUCGCGGCUUAUCAGCUUGUUGGUGGGGUAGUGGCUUACCAAGGCUUUGACGGGUAGCCGGCCUGAGAGGGUGACCGGCCACAUUGGGACUGAGAUACGGACCAGAGUCCUACGGGAGGCAGCAGUGGGGAAUAUUGCACAAUGGGCGGAAGCCUGAUGCAGCAACGCCGCGUGCGGGAUGACGGCUUUCGGGUUGUAAACCGCUUUCGCCUGUGACGAAGCGUGAGUGACGGUAAUGGGUAAAGAAGCACCGGCUAACUACGUG